RNAcentral lists this long non-coding RNA (16263 nucleotides) under Manihot esculenta (cassava). Its description in RNAcentral is "long non-coding RNA (MESC_LNC007561)". Lineage: Eukaryota; Viridiplantae; Streptophyta; Magnoliopsida; Malpighiales; Euphorbiaceae. The record is from RNAcentral.
AUAAGGGGCACAUUAUCCCUUUCCACAACCGAUGUGGGAUUCAACUCACCCCCUCACGCCCAGAAUUUUUACUGGUGUGUGUCACAUCUAUGGGACGCCCAACAUCGGAUGGGGAGGCUCUGAUACCAUGUUAAAUUUGGGUCAGGCCUAACUCACCCCAAAAGCUAGCUCAAGGGAGAGGAGUGCUUAUAUCCCAUAUAAGGGGCACAUUACCCCUUUCCACAUCCGAUGUGGGAUUCAACAAUAAUAAUAACCAAAAACAACAAAAACUAAGUCUUAAUCCCUGUUGAAUCCCAUAUCGGCUGUGGAAAGGGGUAAUGUGCUCCUUAUAUGGGCCAUAGGCACUCCUCCCCCUUGAGCUAGCUUUUGGAGUGAGUUAGGCCUGGCCCAAAUUUAACAUGGUAUCAGAGCCUCCCAUCCGAUAUUGGGCGCCCCAUAAAUGUGCCACGCACUAGUAAAAAUUCUGGGCGUGAGGGGGUGUGUUGAAUCCCACAUCGGCUGUGGAAAAGGGUAAUGUGCCCCUUAUAUGGGGCAUAGACACUCCUCCCCCUUGAGCUAGCUUUUGGGGUGAGUUAGGCCUGGCCCAAAUUUAACAAUCCCAAAUUAGUUGGAGUUAGCUAUAAGAAUUUUUUUAAUAUUCAGUGCAUUUGAAACCAAUUCUACAGCCAUAUCCAAAAAUGAUAAAUUUUUUGAACAACAAAAAGAAUAAAAUUUGAAGCAAUUUUUAGGUUGCAUUGUCAAUUUGUAAUGAUUUUCACCCAACUUUAUUAUGCACAUUGCCAAGUUAUGCUCCUGCUAAUGCAACUGAUAGAGAAAUCUGCACGAAGUUCUACUUUCACAUUGUCAGACGACAUGGCAGCUAUCACAUACCCUUACAGUUGUAAACCUUGUAUUACUAUUACUGCUAUGAAAAAAAAUCCCCUUACUUCCCUCAGAAAAAUACAGUUUUCUUGAGGUCAAUUAUCUAUAUCCCCUCUUGAACUUGAGUAAUCUCUUUAUAAAGCUAGAUGGCAAGAAAUCAAAUCUUACAGAUGAAACAAUAGCCUCUUCACUCUGUGUUAAAGGUGCUAGAAGUGUUUGCACAUCUGAUUGCACAUUUGUUUGUCCAUGUGAUGCAGCACCAGAUUGGCCUUCCAAUUUCAACUUUUGAACUCUAACCCCAAGAAUAUGAUUAAAAGCUGCCAGCGCACGACCACGAUGCAAAUGGUGCUCAAGCCCAUGUCCAGUUUCCUGAAGUCAAUGCACCCAUCAGAUAAUAAGCACUGUAAGUGACAAUUGAGGAAACAAAAGUAGAACAGAAUGUAUUAAAAAUCUCAUCAAACAAACCAGUCACCAUCAGCAAAGAUAGACUCCACAACACCUCCAAUCACAGAUUCUUCUGUUUACUACAUUACAAAUUUUUAUUUAUCCAGUGACAUUGGCCUUCUUAUCAACAACUGUUACUUUAAUCUGCUCCCCAACAUACGUACCAAAUCUCAUGUCCUUUUCCUAGCAUGAAAUUUGGGCUGACCAUGAAAGUCUAGCUAUUCAGUUUUAUAAAUUUUACAUGAGUCUCAUCUUGCAAAGGUACAGUUGUCAUGCUAACCGGCAAUCUUCAAGAACAUGAGCAUACCUAAAAUAUCUUCUUACUAACUUUCCAAGAGAAACUGCACUGAAAGAUCAUGCAACAGCACAGCUGUGUCACUUGAGCAUUGUAUAACAGAUUUUCAGCACAAAUUUACUUAUCCUAAGUAGAAAACAAGGAACCAGUCUACAAAGUACAAGGGCUUUGAGUUCACUUAACCUGUACGUUGCAUCGGAAGAAAAGCAUUUUCCUAAAGAAAAAUAGUAUAGAAUCUUUUCCCUCACAUAUAAAACUGACUUAUGAGGAACCAACUAAUUAUGAUACUUGCUCUUAUUUAAUCAUAUCAUUAGCGUAAUAGAAAUAAUAAUAGUGCUUUAAAAAUAAAGAAAGGGUUGCCUACUCUCUUCAAAAUCACCAGCAUAUCAAGCAUCAGCAUUGCAGUUAACAAAAUCUCAUUGCCAUUAGACCUGUGCCCUUGGCAUUUCAAAAUACCAUACUCACACCAAAGCUGAAUGCUUUGAAGAAAACUCAAGUAUAUAUAUCUACAAUGUGCAUACAUACAAGAUUGUUAAAUUAAAUAUAAUGAUAAACAUGAAUUAAGUUAUGAGGAGAGAACGAUGCAGAUACCUCAAGUGAGGAGUCAUACAGUUCCUCUUGGACAUGCUUUUGUAUUGUUGCUUCCCAGGAUACAGCACUUAUCUCAGUAUGUUCAUCAGCGUGUAUGUAAAAGUCAAUUUCUCUAUCUAACAGAGAAUCCCCUACAGGCAGACCUGAGAAUGAUUGCCAUCCAAGCGGACCCUACAGUAUUUUGAAUUUCAUCACGAUUCUCAGCAUUUCUGAUGUAUAUGAAUUUAUGAACAUUACCAUUUAGUCAAAGCAAAAUUAGUAAGGUGUUCCUAGCUUGCAUCAACAUAAGAUGAGGAAAUUUAGAACUUUGGCACAAAAAAUAACAUCGCAUUAUUGACCAAAUAGAUCCAAAGUUUAGUCAAAACUUCAAUUGCAACCAAUUCUUUACCGGUAUCUACAUUUAACAUGUCCAUCAAUUGUCGCUAGCCUGAGAUAGUCUUAGGCUAGAUGUGCUAUUGCAUAUCUAAAGUUUAACUAGAGCAUAUUCAAAUGUAAUAGUACUAAAACACGUUAGUGCAGAUGCAACCAGAGGAAAAAGGGGCAAAAACUUGCACAAAUGCUGCAAGAAAAGGAACAAGUAAACAGGGGAGGGGAGUGAUUCUUGCAGAAAGAGACAGAUAUGGACAAAAUAGGUGCUAAUAAUGCAGGAAAAUGUAGAGGUAGAGAAGCCAAUUUUUAGUAGAAGUGCAACCUCAAAACAGAUUUAGAGUGACUUUGCCGACAAUUAAUAUGUUUAUCUUACAGUUCCGUAUAAUUGACCAAACUUGAAAUAAGUUGAAGUUUAUGUAUACAAUUAUUCUGACUAAAUUUAAAAACCUUUAGUUAUUGGUCCUAAUACAAUAUCCAUCAUAGCUAGCAAGCAGAAAAUUAAUUAUAAAGCAUCCAGAAAAAAAAAUCAGAUGGAUAUUAGAGAAUGAAAAGACCUGGAUAUAAAGCUGAAUUAACCUCCGGACAGUUUUGGGAAACCAGCAUGGCAGCAUUUGUAGAAGUGAAGUAUCACGUGCAGAAGAGAAGAAGAUAUUGUCGCGCCAACACAAAUAGUUUGACAGUGCUGGAUUUCAAUGUACAUAAAUUAAACAUUGCAAUUGAAAGAACAUGCAAGAAAACUAAAGAUCAUCCAGCUGACUUAUGUGCACGCACAAAUAUAAUUAAAAUAAUAUAAGGUUACCACCAACCAUUAUUUGCCCUAGAAACCAAUAAAUUUGAUGUAUCUUGUCCAACACUUGCUGCUACAAGUGUGCGCCACAAUGUAGGAAAGCGUUGCAAAGUGGGCCUAAGGUUUUCCAAUGUGCAUUGAGCUGUGGAGCUACUAAGCCUUGAAACAGUGCCACUACUUAAGCAAUUUUGAAUUGGAAUAGAGGCAUACAUCAGAGUUGCUAAAGCUGCCAUUUCACCUGCUCCUUCAGCAAUAUCAUCAACAGUACGAAUUAUCUCAUCGAUGUCCAGAACACUGAGGUUGCUAUCACGAGACAUUAUAGCCCGAGCAUUACAAAAUGAUGCAUCAUAUUCAUGGCCUUUGAUUCUAGAUAGAAGCAACCAUCUUGCCCAUUGGCAAUCUCCCUGAACAGAAAAGUAAAUAGAAUAAUGACGCAAGUGCAAGCACAACAUAUUUAAAACAAUCAACAAGCCAUGUCGCAUUAAUAAAUAUAUGUAUAAAUAUAUAUAUAAUUGUGUAUAUGAUAUCAGUAUCAGUCAGGAUCAGAUCCAUCAUGAUGACCAACACAUAAAAAGAAGGGAUUUGCGUCACAAGAAUAGAUCAUAUAAAGGAGACACAAGCUUAAUCAAGAUAAACCUUUUUCAUAAAAUAGUAAGACAAAUUUCUAACCAUAAUUUCGCCUAUAUAAACUUCAAUUUGUAUCUGCCAAUAUUCAUUUCAAUAAGAUCAUUAUUACUAAGUUUUUGGUAGAAUUUCAAUCAGACGUUUGACGUGAUAACAAAGUAAAAUUUUUUCUCAUCUAGAUUUACAGUUAAAAACAACCUUUACGAAUCUCACUAAGUCGAAACAUCAAAAACUUGUAAAAUAUCCACAUAAACAAAUUGAUAAUGGUAAUCCUUUUAAAAAUUGAAGUUGGAUAUUUUAGUGAUACAAAUUGAAGUUUAGCAAUUGUGCUAAAAUUUAAUAACAAAUUCAGUGACCAUGGCUGAUAUUCACCCAAACUUGGGAGAUACAAUGUCACGUGUUCAACUAAAUUGGAAAAACUACACCUAUCUAAUGCAAUAUGAUUUGGAAGAAAGAAAAGCUGAAGAGAGGAACAAUUUGCAAUCUGGAGCACAUACUGUGCAGUUUGUCACAGUCAUAAUUCCCAUGUGGUAGGAACUAGGAAAUGCAUAUAAUUAGUUCGUGGGAGAAAAUUAUAUUCCCAAGCAAAAUCUGUGUUCUGAAACAGUUCCAAAAUUAGAAGAAAGCCCUUCUCUUCUUUUCAAGAAGGAAGCCUAACUAAAAGAGUGAAAUCAGGCCAUGCUGACAUAGCAUAGAACAUUUCAUACAUUAAUGCUCCUAAUUUAUCCUCCAAAUAACAGAAGAAGUUGAUAAAAUCAUAAUUAAGGCAUAUGAAGAACAAAGUUGGGUACCAUGAAGUACAUGUGCUUCGUCCUAACGUAACACACUUUAACUUUGACAGUUUUACAUCUGCAGCAAAUGAGUAAAACAAUACAACAAUUAACCUGUUUCGAAGUUGUGCUGUUUUUAGUUCAGCAAUAGUGUUGAACAUUGUUAUAAGUUAUAGAAAGUAAAUAUGUUAAUAUAGGAAGUAAAUAUGGAUAGAUGGGUUAGUUGCUUAAUCUUAGGGAUUGUAUAAUCAUAGAUUUGAUUUUCUUUCCUAUUUAGAUACCCUCUCUCAUGUAUAAAUAGAUUGUAAUCUCUAUUGUGAAAUAUAACAAAUAUUAUCCUUCUACAUGGUAUCAGAGCCUUUCUCGUAGAGAUUUAAUUUUUCUCUCCCGUCAAAGUUUUUUUUAAGAAAAAAAAAAAAAAAAAUUUUGGAGACUUAGGGCUCUGUUUAUUUGGGUUACCCAUAACGGGUAAUAUUUGGAUCUCACCAUCGCUAGAGUCGCCACAUCGUUCCCUUGUCAGAUCUGAGGUUUAUUUGCCAUUCGGGUUUUGGGGGAGGUGUUUUUAUCGGUACUGUUCAUCGGACUGUUCACGGGUACUGUUCACGAGUACUGUUCAUCGACACUGUUCACGUGGUACUGUUCACGUGGUACUGUUCAUCGGUACUGUUCACGUGGUGCUGUUCACGCCGGGUACUGUUUUCUGAUUCUGUGUUUCUUUUGUUGCUGUCGUUUUGGGUUUGUUGUCAUGGUUGAAGUGAAAACCACCACCGUAACUGAUGUGAUUCCUAUGAUGACUAAAAUCACGGAACACAAAUUGAAUGGAUCUUCCAAUCAAGGAAUUUUGAUAUCUGCAGAUGAGUAUGCACAAUUCGUCCAAUACCAGGCAUCUCUAAAAUCCUCUAAUUCCUCCUCUAUCACUGCAAUUGCCGAGUCAGGUAACUCUACUACAUGUCUUGUGUCUUCAUCCUCAAAAUGGGUUAUUGAUUCUGGUGCUACCGAUCAUAUGUCAGGUAAUUCUACCCUUUUGUCCAAUCUUGAGUCUCGUACAUCGCCUUCUUAUGUUACUCUUGCUGAUGGCACUAAAUCUUCUGUCAUUGGUUCUGGUCAUGUCAACUUAACCCCUUCUCUUUCUGUAUCCUCUGUGUUAUGUCUCCCUAAGUUCGCAUUUAAUUUGCUUUCCGUUAGUAAACUCACUCGUGCAUUGAAUUGUUGUGUCUCAUUCUUUCCUGAUCACUGUGUUUUUCAGGAUCUUUCGACGAAGCAGAUUAUUGGUAGAGGGAGUGAGUCAGAGGGUCUUUACGUCUUGGAUCAGCAACUACCUCGAUCUCCUCGAUCUCUGGUAUGCUCCACGCAUUUAACACCUUUUGAUGUUCAUUGUCGUUUGGGGCAUCCUUCUCUCUCAGUUUUAAAGAAGUUAUAUGCACAGUUUCAUUCUUUGUCUACUCUAGAUUGUGAGUCUUGUCAAUUUGCCAAACAUCAUCGUUUACCUACACUGCCUCGAGUCAAUAAACGGGCUUCGUCCCCCUUUGAGUUAGUACAUUCAGAUGUUUGGGGUCCUUGUCCUGUUGUGUCUAAGUCUGACUUUAAGUAUUUUGUUACUUUUGUUGAUGAUUUCUCUCGUACUACUUGGUUAUUUUUAAUGAAGAGUCGUUCAGAAUUAUUUUCUGUUUUUUGUGCAUUUUAUGCUGAAAUCCAAACCCAAUUCAAUACUUCCAUCCGUAUAUUGCAAAGUGAUAAUGCUAAAGAGUAUCUCUCUGGGGAAUUUCAAUCUUAUUUGUUACAAAAAGGGAUUCUUCAUCAGUCAUCUUGUGUUGCCACUCCUUCACAAAAUGGAGUUGCUGAAAGAAAAAAUCGACAUCUUCUUGAAGUAGCCAGAGCUCUCUUAUUCCAAAUGAAGGUACCUAAAUGUUUUUGGGUUGAUGCUGUAUCCACUGCUUGUUUUUUGAUCAAUCGCAUGCCUUCCUCCAUCCUUCAUGGUGAUAUCCCUUAUAACAUUUUGUUUCCCACUAAAUCUUUGUUUCCUAUUGAGCCACGUAUGUUUGGUUGUACAUGUUUUGUUCGUGAUGUUCGUCCACAGGUUACUAAAUUGGAUCCUAAAUCACUCAAAUGUGUCUUCCUUGGCUACUCUCGACGUCAGAAAGGGUAUCGUUGUUUUUCUCCUGAUCUGAAUCGGUAUCUUGUGUCUGCGGAUGUAACAUUCUUUGAGUCCACUCCAUUUUUUCCGCCAUCAUCUGUUUAUAACACCGAGGGGGAGGAAGAUGACCUCUUGUUAUACACUGUUCGCUCUUUGUCUCCUCAAACUACUCCUACACCUUUCGCUCAUGUGCCAGGUCGCCCUCCCAUCUUUCAUGUGUAUUCCAGACGCUUAGAGGACUCUGACUCCGUUCCGCUACCUGCUUCUUCGUCGACAGAUCCUGCUCCCACUGAUCCUUCACCGUCUGAUUUGGAUUUGCCCAUUGCUCUUCGCAAAGGUAAACGUACUUGCACUUAUCCUAUUUCAUCUUGUGUCUCUUAUGAUCAAUUAUCCUCCUCUUCUCGUUGUUUUGUCACUGCUUUAGAUUCUAUUUCAAUUCCCAAAACUGUUAUUGAGGCUUUGUCCCAUCCUGGUUGGCGUGCUGCAAUGGAAGAGGAAAUGAUGGCCCUUGACACUAAUGGUACUUGGGAGUUGAUGUCCUUGCCCCCAGGAAAGCGGGCUAUUGGGUGCAAAUGGGUGUUUGCAGUAAAAGUAAACCCUGAUGGAUCUAUUGCUCGCCUCAAGGCCCGUUUAGUGGCCAAAGGUUAUGCACAAACUUAUGGAGUUGACUAUUCUGAUACAUUCUCUCCAGUUGCCAAGCUCGCAUCUGUCCGAUUGUUUAUUUCCUUGGCGGCUACUCAUGAUUGGCCCUUGCAUCAACUGGAUAUUAAAAAUGAUUUUCUUCAUGGUGAUCUUCAGGAGGAGGUUUAUAUUGAGCAACCACCUGGUUUUGUUGCUCAGGGGGAGUCAGGUAAGGUUUGUAGACUUCGAAAAUCCCUUUAUGGCUUGAAACAGAGUCCUCGAGCAUGGUUUGGCAGGUUUAGUGAGGUGGUCCAACAGUUUGGAAUGAAGAUGAGUAAGUGUGAUCACUCAGUGUUUUAUAGAAAUUCUGAUAGUGGAGUAAUUCUGCUUGUAGUAUAUGUGGAUGAUAUCGUUAUUACAGGAAGUGACAUUGCUGGCAUCACAUCCCUAAAAGAAUUUCUUAAAACACAGUUUCAUACAAAGGAUUUGGGUUCCUUGAAAUAUUUCUUGGGAAUUGAAGUUAUGCGGUGUAAGAAAGGCAUCUUCUUAUCUCAAAGAAAAUAUUUUCUUGAUUUGUUGGCAGAAACAGGAAAAUUGGGUGCUAAGCCUUGUAGUACCCCAAUGACCCCUAACCUUCAACUUACCACAGAAGACAGUGAGCCAUUUGCAGAUCCUGGAAGGUACAGAAGAUUAGUUGGUAAGCUGAAUUAUUUGACUGUGACUCGUCCUGAUAUUGCAUAUUCAGUGAGUGUGGUAAGUCAGUUUAUGUCCUCUCCUACUGUUGCCCAGUGGGAUGCUCUGGGACAGAUUCUUUGUUACCUUAAAGGGGCCCCAGGACGAGGCCUAUUCUAUGGUAACCAUGGGCACUCAAAUAUUGAAUGCUUUUCUGAUGCUGAUUGGGCAGGCUCGAAAGUUGAUAGGAGGUCAACUACUGGGUAUUGUGUUUUUGUGGGAGGUAAUUUGGUCUCAUGGAAAAGUAAAAAGCAAAAUGUGGUCUCCCAUUCUAGUGCUGAAUCUGAAUAUCGAGCCAUGGCACAAGCCGUUUGUGAAAUCUUGUGGGUACGUCAACUGUUGGAAGAAGUUGGGUUUUCAAAUUCGGUGCCUGCUAAGUUGUGGUGUGAUAAUCAAGCAGCUAUCCACAUUGCCUCCAAUCCAGUAUUUCACGAGAGGACCAAACACAUCGAGAUUGAUUGUCAUUUUGUUCGUGAAAAGGUUCAACAAAAGAUAAUAUCAACAGAACAUAUCCGAACUGGAGAACAAUUAGGAGAUAUUUUUACUAAAGCUCUAAAUGGAACUCGAGUCGAUUAUAUAUGUAACAAGUUGGGCAUGAUUAACAUUUAUGAUCCAACUUGAGGGGGAGUGUUAUAAGUUAUAGAAAGUAAAUAUGUUAAUAUAGGAAGUAAAUAUUGAUAGAUGGGUUAGUUGCUUAAUCUUAGGGAUUGUAUAAUCAUAGACUUGAUUUUCCUUCCUAUUUAGAUACCCUCUCUCAUGUAUAAAUAGAUUGUAAUCCCUAUUGUGAAAUAUAACAAAUAUUAUCCUUCUACAAACAUCACCCUUUCAAAGCAGGGUGAUAGAGACUUUAAAAUGUAUCUGGAAUAUCAUUGCAUGUGUCAUUAUGAGUCAAUAGAUUACAGUUAUAUAUAGGCUCUGAAUAUAUUUGAUGCCAUUAGCUGAAAAUAACAAACUAUUUAGAAUAAGUCAAUAGAGCAUUAGACUGCAGAAUACACUUUAAAACAAGCAGCUUCAAAGGCACAAGCAAACGGCAUUAACAAUUUUCAGUAUAUAUUUAAUUGCUAUCUCUAGUGAAUAUCUAAUAAACUAUUUACUCAUCAAAUGAACCUGCAAAAGUUAGACAAUACUAAAGCAAAAUACAAAAUCAGAGAACGGUAAGACUCACUAGAUGUGAGGAAACUUACUGCAGCUUCCUGUAACAAGUAAAGUGAAUCAUUCUCCCUGGCCAAUUUGUGAUGUUCAAGAUAAAGGUCCAAAAGGUUUGGCAAGUUAUAUUGCACACAAUGAUGCACCAGUAAUUUAUCCAAAGCUUGUGUUGUAUCAACAUGAAAGUUUCCACCAUCUGAUAUAUUCAGAUCAGAUGAAAGUUUCACAGAAUAAUCCUCUGAUGACAUUCUAUUAGGCCUGCUAGUGAUGAAGCCUGAACGAGCUAGUAGAGCUACAAUAUCUUCAGUGCCUUCCCAAUAAUCCUUCAAAAAAAUAUAUUUCUUAGCAAGCUCCUGUUCCAUGAGCAUCCUUAACCAGAUGGUGCACAUAACAUCAACAGAAAGCCUUAAUAUUUUGACUCCUGGAACAUCAAUGCAAACAGCAUCCACUUCUUCAAUGGAGCAUAUAUAAUUACUGUAGUCUGGAAAUUCACUGCUGCAUCCAAUAUCAGGUGCAUGUUUUGAGCCAUCUAAAGUGAUCUGGAGGCUUCCAUGUGAUACUACAGAUGAAGGAAUGAGAUCCAUAAGUUUAAAAACUUCAUCCCAGUCAUUAUGGCCCAAAUAAUAUUCCAGUUGAGACUCCCACAAUACAUGAACACCCAUGAGGAAAGGUUGAUCCAGAACUAUCUGCAUAGUAAGAAAAUAGUCAAGGAAAAUAAGCUUAGUGCCUAUAUUUGCAGUAGAAAAAGAAAAAAUGUCAUGUCGUUUGGCACAUGCUACAAGAAUUCAACACAGGAACAUGCCACAGGAAGACACGGUUACAGACCAUAGUUACCUAAAUCAUGGUACAGGUACGGGGUAUGCAGUAUGCCAAUGAAUGAAUUAUAGAAAACGUAGGGGGGUAGGCUUAACAGAGCACUAAUUUAAUUUGGGACAUGUAAAUUAUGUUUAUGCAAUGUAAUAUAAUGUUUACAUAAUUAAAUAUAUGACUAAUAGUUGAUAAUAAUUAUAUUUUCUAAAAAACAUUUUUAAGUUUAACUAAUAAAAUAGUAAUUUAUACUCCCAAAUUAACAUUGCCACCUAUUCCACGACCAUUUAAAUUUACUAGUUGUACCUCACUUAAAAUGUUUUAAAAUAUAUUUCUUCUUUUUACUUUUUCUUUGUUAUAGCUCUUCCAUCUUUUUAUUUCUUGUUGGAACCUCUAUUUUAUUGACUUUAUUCACGUAUACCAAUAAUUUGGGAUGCAAAAGUAUCGCAUUUCGGUUCGAAGUACCCAGAACGCAGUUCACAGGAGGGUUGAGAAUAUGGGCAGGUGACAAGUCCUAUCUUACUUCAAUAAGGUUUCAGCAAAACAUGGUGUAUUCAGAAAGAAAUCAAAGAAAAGCAAAAAAAAAAAAAGAAAAAAGAAAAAAAGAGAAGAGAAAGAGACUUACACGAUCAAUGGUCCUCUGAUCCCAGGCACUAGACCACACUGCUGCAGCAGUCCAAUAUCCGGCAUGAGCAGUAUCUUCAUCAACCACAGGGUCACAAUAAUCUUCCUUGAUGCUUGUCCAUGGACCUAGAACAACACCAUCAAUCUCACCACAUUCAAUGGUAAGAUUGCUAAAUAAAUGUGGACAUAAUAAGUGCAGCUUAAUUUCUCCAGGUGACUUUAAAGUCAACAUAGCACCCAUCAAUGCCUUCUGCCGACCAAUAAAAGUUUUCCAGAAACUACUGCUAGGGUACAGCCUCUUUCCAGCAAGAAAGAAAAAAGAAAAGCCUUAUCAGAGCAUGAAAUCAAAAUUUAAGGCACAGCCACUUGUAAAAAUAUAAUGCAGCAGACAACUGUAGAAUACCUCUAUUAAUGAUAUCUUCUCCAAUAUCUUCCACUCAUAUGGUCCCAGGUAACCAUAUUUUCUCACCUCUUCUGCAACUUGAAUCCGAAUAGAUCUCCUUACAGUGCCAAAUAAUAACUGCUUGAGGCAGGUUUCAAUGUCUUCUCCGAGCCUUUGUAAUGUUGCAAUUGCAUGUCCAGUUUCACCCUGUCAAACACACAUGAUUAAUGCAGCUACAUAUAUUUAUCUCAGAACACUGCUAGGUACACUGGCAUGCUAUAACCCAGUAUUCUAAUGCACCAACUUUUUAUUACAGAAUUUUCAUAACAUUCAUUCACGUCCUGUAUUUGGCUUAUUCAGGUUCUGUAAUUUACCCUUGUCAUUCACUUUUGGUAAUCAUAUUCCUAUUAAUUCUCACUUUCUGUAAUUAUUACACGUAGUAACUACACCAAGUGUUUUUGUUUACCAUAACGCAAGCAAACAAAAAUAAGCUACCUUCAGAAAUAGGUCAUAAGCAAUGGCUCUUCCAAUGUCACGAACUUCACUAAAGGUAUCAGAAGGAUCUUCAUCAGUGUCCAAAUCUCUUGAACGAUGAAGAUGUAAUUGAAGAACAGCUGAUGGAAGUCGGCCAGAGAUGAGAGCAUCUUUAACUACAGUUUUAAGAUCAAAAUUUUCUAAUUUCCAUCGGGCAAUCAUCUCCUUGGGAUUUUCCAAUGGAAAGUUUUUCUUUCCCAAAUUUCCAGCUUGAGGCACAAAUAUAGAUAUUGCAGUUGAGUCAUCUUGAUCCAAAUCAGCACCAGAAACCAAUGCAUCCUUGGACAUCAAAGCAAGUUUUUCGCCCUUGGAACCCACAGAAGAUACAGAAAUUGAAAGUUCUUGUUGGUUUACCGUCUCCAAGGAAACAGUAUUUUCUGGAAAAACUGAAAACUGAGCUUCAUCCUCUGACAAAACUGAGUCCACCGAAUUUAUCGCUUCACCACCAUCUAUCUAUAACAUUGAGAAAGUUUACAUGGUAAGCAACAGAUAAGAAGCAAAAAAAUUUCACAAUAUGUUUUCAGCACACACAAUAGCAUACCAAUCCCUGGCUAGGCUUUUUGAAUUUUGCUCCAAGUCGAUAUUGCAGAUUCCUAAUGAUCUCCAAAAAACGAGCCAUAUCACAAAGCCUUUUUGAGUCCGCCAUUUCACUUUGUACUUGAUCUGAUAUAACUGAAGGAAGAGAGAGAAAUCGGGUCUUCCUAAAACCAAGUAGCAAGCCAUUUUUAUGUUGCAGUAACCCAAAUUUUCUAAUCAUCUUGGUUGUGAAGCAAGUGGCCAAUGCAAGAACCCUGUAAUACAGAUUUCACAAAGGAAAAAAGAAAAAAGAAAAAAGAACAAAAAGAAGUAACCAGUAGUUAAACAGCAGCCAACAAUGAACUUCCUGACACCCAUAAAAAAAAGGAAACUGAACUAUCAAUCAUAUCUUAAGACUUGAAUUAAGAGCGAAAAUUUGACCCAAAAAAAAGGAAUUAAGAGCGAAAUUGAUGUUACUGCAGUACUCACAGAGAAGACAAAAAAGGGAAGAAAGUGAAAUAUGAUACCAACUACAUGCAAAGGCAAAUGGAAGAAAAUCACAGUUUGCUUGACCACUUCCUUGGCCUCAAAAAUUUGUGAAAUGACCCUUUAGCAAAUGUGCAGACUAAGAUGGGUUCGCAAAUCACAAUGCAACAUUUUUAGUCAACUAUACAGAGGCAAAUGCAACCCCAGUCCCCAGCACUUUCCAGUUCAAGCUAACCAGCCAAUUUAAGAAUGGACAAAGAUAUAAAAACGAUAUAUUAUUAGGUGAAAAUUAAAAUGUUCACCAUGUAACCAUCAAUCCUAUAUAAGCAAAACAAAAAAAUCAGAAAAACCUGGAGGCUUGAUCUACACAGGGUUUAAGUAUGUAACUGAAAUAAACCAAUAUCUACAUUACAAAACAGAUUCAUAUGUAUCAAUAUCAAGAAAUAUAGUCAGAUUAUAAAAAAUAAAAUAAUGUAUAAAAUUUGCAGAUCAAUCUACAUAACCCUAGUAAAAAUCUUGACCAAGCCAGCUUGCAUAGCUUGCUAUUUAUCCACUUUGUAACUGACCAAAGAAAAUUCCACAGCAUAGUUAUGAAAAUCAAAUAAAUCUGGUAAAAUGGUUUACCUUGAUGCAGCAGAAACGUCAAUGUCACUGCCAUUUCUGUUACACAUCAGAUAAACAGCAGCAAAGAGCAAUCUCAAAAUGCCUUCUUCUGCCAGACUGACGUCCACAAGCAUUUUUAGAGAUCUGUUACACCACCCAAAAAGUCAAAGAACCCAUUACUCUACAACUAGAACCAUAACCAAGAUGCCACAUCAAAAAAGCCAUUUUGUUUGUUACUUGUUUUACCCAUUAUAAAAUCUCAUGUAGGGAAAAUGUCCGCUAGAAUUUAAUAUGCUUCCAGUAGAUUAACUUUUAAGAAUACACAGUUAAAAAGGAAAAAAGACAACUUGUUACCAUUGAAGCAGAAUAAUUCCAAAAUUAAAUGUCUUUUCUUUGUAUUUCAAUCAGAGAUAUGGAGCAGGAGAACAUAUUAACAAGGAAACAGCAUCCUCUUCAAUGUAGGAAUAAAUAAGCAUAAGGAUUUUUUAACAAAAUAAAUAAACAAAUAAAACAAUCAUGAACAAUAAAGACACCUCGCAAUGACAAAAAGCUGAAAACCAUAGCCGAUAGAGAAUUUAAAAAUUUCAGUCUCAUAAGAUGCUAUAUACAUAAGGAUAAGUGUAAAAGUAUCUAUAAAAUAAACUUUUGAGUGAAAAAAAAUAAAGUACCAACAUUGAGGUCUAAUAUUCUAUGUGAAAUCCUAUUUCCCAUGUGAUACAAUAUUACAAAUUUACUAAUACAGAAGCAUAGUUUAUAUAAUAAAAGAAGAAGAAGAAUAAAGAGAAAAGAGGACAAUGUGCUCCACCAACAGUGAAGCUAAUAGUUGUACAUAUCUGACUUUAGCUCUAAUUAGAAGUGCACUUGUCACAUGAAAAAUAAAGGUUAAAUGCUAAAUCCUUAAAAUCGUCAAAAGAUUUAUUUAUGAAAUUUUUCCUGGUAUUUUUAUUUUUAUUUUUAUUAAAAAGGAUAAGUUACAAAACCUCUUUGAGUUCAGAGAAAAAGAUUUUAUUCCUUUGAAAUUUCCUUACAGUCUAUUGCUUUAACUAAAAUAAAUUUAUAAUUUUUUUUUUUUUGUUUUCAUAUAUCAAUUGCCACUGUUCUUACAAAUAUUACACAAAAUUAAUUAUACUCAACAAGAGCUUCUUGAGCACUUGAUUUUCAAGAUCUUGUGAAAAAAUUAGUACAAAUUAUCGAAAGGAAAAAUCCUGUUAGUGUUCAAAUUCUCAUAUUUUUAAAUGAUAUCUCAUGCAUUGAGGUUUUAGUCACCAAAGGAAAUUACCUUAAUACAAUCAUUUAAUAUAUUCACAUAUUAUGUAAUUUUCAAUCACAUGCAACACACAUGAAAAAUUUGCUAAGAAUUGUAAAGGGAAGUACUCUUUGCCUCCUUUUUCCUUCUAGAUAAACCUUAAAUUUACUGGAUGGUAAACUUUCCAAUCUCAUGGGCACAUCACAUAAACCAUAGAACCAAAGAGCCAAUCCAAGUGUAAUUGUUGAUAAAUCUGACCAGGGUCAACUCCACUCCGAAAUGCAUCUUAUGGAGGGCGGAUUGCCCAACCAUUGUUGUUAGAAUCUUAUGAUUCUAUUCAAUUCGUACAAUUAGAUUCAAUUAUCCAUUCUAGCAAUUUGAAUCUAUGGGGUGAAUUGUUAAUACACCUAAAUUGUGACCGAAUUGAAUGUAUUGUUUAUUAUAAAGCAUACUCCUAAUUAAUUCUAUAUUCAUCAGAUAUGUCAAUGUAAUAUUUUUUACUUAUUCUUUAGUAAAUAUAGUAUUUUAAUUAAUGAGAAUUUUUUGAAUCUUGUAAUUUGAUCUGAUUCUUGAUUCACAAAAUGAAAAUUCUCAUUUCAGAACUCAAUCUAACAAUUAUGUACCAAGUCACACGACAAGCAGUUUGCCCACCUACACAGCUGAUGUGGAAUCUUAAGACACACCCCUUACACCAAGACAUAAAAUAUAAGGCAUGAAGUCUGCAGGAACAAACAUCUGCAAGUGGCCUGAUAUCAAUACUAGAGUUGACUCUGAUACCAUAAGAAGAAGAAGAAGAAGAAGAAACAGAGAAGAGAUCGGGAGAAAAAAAGCUGGCUGGUUCACUCAAGCCUUUAGGCAUAUAAAUAUACUGUUACAUGUAAACAGAAAUAUUUUACACACUUACAGCACUCACACACAUUUGCAAGCAUAAAGAUAGCACUCAAUUCGGAGCUAGCAUUCCAAGAAUAACCACAAACAACUCGAUGUAAAAAAUAGAUUAAAAGACUUACUACUACAAUAUGUAACCUGAAUGAAAUGCCUAAUUUGUUUUUCCCAACUGCAAUAAAUUAUUAGUACCAAUAUGAUUGAGAACCACUAACCUAAAGGUCCUUAUUUUGGAAGAUCUUUAGAUUUCCAAAUGAAAAGGUGAAAUAUAAAGAAAAGCAAGUUAGAUACACAGAAAAAGAUUGCAUGAGGAUACCCCCAAAAUUAUCCAAAGCCCAAAUGCUGGUAGAGCCCCAACCAGAAGAUAGACAAAAAGAUUCAAGGAUAUAAGAUAAUGAAGCAAGACCUAAUAACCCAUCAUCUAGAUUUUUGUAAGAAUUUCUAAGAAAUUGAAUAUCCAUCUAUAAUGAGAAAAUUAAAAAUGUAAGCCUAAUGGUUCAUGUGCAAAUGAUUUGGAAAUAAUGCUAUAGUGAUUCCAAACAAAUAUAUUAGCAAUUUCCAACUACAUAACGUUAUACUAUUUGUUGCUGUGUUUCUCCUGCAGCUCUUCACUCAAAAGUACAUGCACAAGUAAUAUAAAAGUCUUGUUCAGCAUUUGCUUUAGGUGCAUUCAUAUAUGCGCAAGCACAUGUGCAUAGAUCUAACCAUCAUGUUGCACCAUGCAAGCAAGCACUUAAUUUUGGUAAUGAAGCUCAAAUAUACCAACUUAAAGACAUAAAAUCAAAAGGCAAACUACAAUGGGUAUC